UCUAUUAUUAUUACACAUAAAAAAGAAAAAGGUUUUUGCUUUCAAAUCUAAACCCUAUUAAUAGGUAUCAUUAUAGCCAUUAGAUAUCCGUCUCGUCUGAAGAACUUCCCGCGGGAACGAGUUCCAACAAUAAUAGCGAGAAAAUUAAAAAUUUUAAUGCUAUACUACAGUGAUAAUUCAAACAGUAUGCGUUUUUUUACUUAUCGUACACCCGUUUAGAUAUUUUAAAAUAAAAAAAUAUUUAUUUCGGUACGAUUUACGAUAAUAAUUUAUAGGCGAGAUUGCAGGUAUUACGCUACGAUUAUAAUAUAAUAUAGUCUGACAUAGUCAUAGACUACAUAAGAAAACUAUGAAUACUUUGGUGAAAAACGGUUAGUCGAAAAUAAUACUUGUUAUAAAAUUAUGCAUGCGUUAGGUUUGGACGGUAUAUAUAUAUACACACAUUAUAUAAGCUCGACGUGUAUAAUAUAAUAAUAAUGUAACGACUUCUUCGGUAUAUAACAGUAAAGUACGAGACGAAGUAUAAUUUAUUUUUCGUCUAAGACAAUUCCACCCCCUCCACCCCUAAUAUAUUAUUAUGUGUACUGCACUCCCCCGGCCGUGCGGAAAAAUAAUAACUGAUGGGUCUGCGUAUUGGUUCAUUUCUCGAUCUGGUCUUAUCGGGUUAGGCACCCUGCAAACGACCGUGCAGCAGUGGCGCGCGGCAAUAAGUCAACGGCCGCCGAGACACAAAAGAACAGAAAUCGCCACGGAGGAGAGAAGUCUCUCCAGUAUAUAUAAUAUGUACUCGCCGUAUUAUGUGUACUCCUCCUCUCUCGGCCCCCAUCGCCACACCAUAUCGUGUACACACACACACACACACACGUGCGCGUAUAUAUAUAUAUAUGUACGUACACACGAGGAAAUGACCUGCGCGAGGAGGGGAACUUCGACGACGACGGCGGCGAUGAGUCAUCUGAACUUUAUAGCGGAGGGUAAUACGUACGUAUAUAAAUCGAGUGAUAUAAAGGGUCGAGACACCGUCUUGGUUUCGCCGCUGUGUAGAUGAAAACAAAAAAAAAAAAAUAAAUAAAUAAAAUUACCGAAAUAUUAAGUACCUACAUUAUUCUGAUACAUCGCGCAGCGUCAGUGGCGGGGGGGGGAGGGGCAUACGUCGCGUCGUCCGCGUCGUCCUCCGGGAACCAUUCAUCAACGGCGAUGUAGGUAUAUCAUUCAAUGUAUGCAUUUUUAUUACGAUAUGGGAGUGUUGUUUCCCGAGUCGUAUUUAUUAUGAUUAUUAUUUCGCGUUCCAAUCGCGCACUACCGUUUUCGUUUGUAGGCGGAUAAAUUAUUACAGAAUCUUGAUAAUCAAUAGUAUAAUGUCGUUUAUAUUAUCCCGCCGUUGAGUUUAGAAUAAAUUACCGAUAUUAUUAUUAUUGUUACUAUUUGAGUAAGGUAGAACCGAAAUUCCUCGUUUAUUUAAAAAAAAACAAACCGCGACAAUAACACGGGGAAAGGGUUUUACAACGAAUAAAUCCAAAAUGCAUUUUAGUCGUCGUUCUCUAUAAUAUACAUGUUUUUAAAAUCAAAGUCUGAAACAUGCGAGUUUUGAAUUUAAAGGCGCACGGAACAUCCUAGUUUUGGAUAAUUAAAACAGAACAUGGGAGUUAUCAUAUUAUGAAUCGUACGAUAUUUGAUACGAGUCUAAUGGGGUUCUGCAGUAUCAAAACUCACGUUAAUCAAUGGAACUUGUUAGAAUUUUGACACAAACCGCUACUUUCCGGUUAAAUUUAGAGCCGCUGUCUUAUUGCUAAGAGUUUUGAAACAACGAAUUAAUUACAGAAUUCAAAAAAUCUUUUGAAAUAAUGUCAAUGUUUUCCCCUUUUUUUUUUCUUUUUUUUUUAACUUAGCCUACUUAAUUUACUAUUCCCCGAUUGUGGAGUUUUGUAAAAAAAUACAAAUAAUUACAUUUCAUUAGCGGAUAUAAAAAUACGACAAUCUACUGAGAAAAAAAAACAAAACAAAAUUACCAACCGUAAAAAUACAUUUAAAAAUACCGCGGUGUUUAUUUUAAUUUUUUAUUUUUAUGUCAGUCACGUCUAAAACACGUCGGUAAUGCUCAGUCGUCGGUAUGACUUUGCAUAUGAUCCGCAGUUUACUUGACGCCAGCACGUACGAUAUCGUCAUUGACACGUUUUGAAUAACGAUGAUGGCGUCUGUGAUUAUUAUAACUGCUUAUUUUGUCGAGAUAUCCUGGGUCCGUAUACAUAAUAUAUACGAGAAAAUAUGGGGUCGAAUUGAAAAAUAACGAAUCAAAUUAUAAUACAAUCGGAAAUAUUAUAUAAUAAGUGCGUAUCCGCAAUCAAACCGACGGAGCCUUUUCACCGAACAUCAUAUCGUAGUACUCAUAAUCUUACUCGUAAUCCCCUCGAUGAAAUCUAUACAGUAGGGUAUAUGUAGGUACCCGAUAUUUUUUAUUAUUAUAGCUAGGUUAGAAGAUAAAGUCCCUCGACUAGUCCUUGUCGGCGUAUCCGUCACCGAGCCGGAUUUAGUUCGAAUCGUGCACGGGUUCGCGGCGCGGAUUAAACUCGACAAUAUAAAGUCGUAAAUUACCGGAAAACGAUUAUUGUCCCGAUUACACACAACACGAAUAGAAUAUAUUUAGAAAAAACACAAGCUAGUUUUUAACAACAUUACUCGACUCCGA
This 2686-nucleotide long non-coding RNA is filed under the name Cinara cedri. Lineage: Eukaryota; Metazoa; Arthropoda; Insecta; Hemiptera; Aphididae. The record is from RNAcentral.